AAUAGAUACCCGGGUAGUCCACGCCGUAAACGAUGAAUGCUAGCCGUUGGCGAGCUUGCUCGUCAGUGGCGCAGCUAACGCAAUAAGCAUUCCGCCUGGGGAGUACGGUCGCAAGAUUAAAACUCAAAGGAAUUGACGGGGGCCCGCGCAAGCGGUGGAGCAUGUGGUUCAAUUCGAAGCAACGCGAAGAACCUUACCAGCUCUUGACAUGCCUCGUAUGGUCGCUGGAGACAGCUUCCUUCCCGCAAGGGGCGAGAGCACAGGUGCUGCAUGGCUGUCGUCAGCUCGUGUCGUGAGAUGUUGGGUUAAGUCCCGCAACGAGCGCAACCCUCGCCCUUAGUUGCCAUCAUUUAGUUGGGCACUCUAAGGGGACUGCCGGUGAUAAGCCGGAGGAAGGUGGGGAUGACGUCAAGUCCUCAUGGCCCUUACGGGCUGGGCUACACACGUGCUACAAUGGCGGUGACAGAGGGAUGCAAAAGGGCAACCUUUCGCAAAUCCCAAAAAGCCGUCUCAGUUCGGU
This 520-nucleotide ribosomal RNA is filed under the name uncultured bacterium. Its description in RNAcentral is "bacterial SSU rRNA". It matches the Rfam family "Bacterial small subunit ribosomal RNA", at positions 777 to 1297 of the family's 1533-position model. The record is from RNAcentral.